This is a long non-coding RNA of Bombina bombina (fire-bellied toad), 552 nucleotides long. RefSeq lists it as uncharacterized. Lineage: Eukaryota; Metazoa; Chordata; Amphibia; Anura; Bombinatoridae. The record is from RefSeq and is a predicted model, not a curated record. The transcript has 3 exons.
GUCUGCUCAGUGCUUUGCUUUCAGUGUAGCCCAUAAGAAACAUGCUGAGCAGCAAGAACACAUAACUUAAGGGACAAUUCUCAGGUGGCAGCAUGAACCCUGCGAGAUCAUUAGGUCCAGCCUUGGUUACAGGGAUUUGGGAAUAUCACUGGGUGUAUUGGAUUGGUCCUGUGCUGGGGGCAUUCCUGGCUGGUGCUUCUUAUGAGUUCUUCUUUGCUUCUAGUGCCUCACGAGAGAAGCUAGUAGCCUGUCUCAGUUGUAAAGACAUUGAGAUAGUGGAAACAGCAAGUGUGUCCCGUUCCUCUCUCUCUACUGCAGCACAGACAGCAGCACGCACAAGACAGUCUGAACACAAACAAGACAACAAUUAGCAAACAAGGACCCUGUACCUUGUGCCAAGAGAACUUUUCAAUCCCUGGAUAGAAGAUGGAAUAUUAUAAACCAUUCAAUACUUCCAAUGGAUACUUUAUUAUUUCAGUACAUGCUAUAUUACACUAAUAUGUUAUCUUUUCUUUUUUUUAAAUAAAACAAAAACUUUAGUAUUUUUAAGAA